UCCGAUAUGGUGUAGUGGCUAACAUUAUCGCCUCUCAUGUGGCCAACCUCCAGGAGCUUCGCGAUAGCCCGGGGUUCGAUUCCCCGUGUCGGAA
Non-coding RNA from Rhodocollybia butyracea, 94 nucleotides. The record is from the annotation of a GenBank genome assembly. NCBI's taxonomy places the organism in Eukaryota, Fungi, Basidiomycota, Agaricomycetes, Agaricales, Omphalotaceae.